GUAGGUCAGUGAUACAGGUAGAGUAGAGGACUGUAGGUCAGUGAUACAGGUAGAGUGCAGUGAUACAGGUAGAUGACAGUAGGUCAGUGAUACAGGUAGAGUAGAGGACUGUAGGUCAGUGAUACAGGUGGAGUGCAGUGAUACAGGUAGAGUAGAGGACUGUAGGUCAGUGAUACAGGUAGAGUGCAGUGAUACAGGUAGAUGACAGUAGGUCAGUGAUACAGGUAGAGUAGAGGACUGUAGGUCAGUGAUACAGGUGGAGUGCAGUGAUACAGGUAGAGGUCAGGGCUCACCU
Long non-coding RNA from Astyanax mexicanus (Mexican tetra), 295 nucleotides. RefSeq lists it as uncharacterized. NCBI's taxonomy places the organism in Eukaryota, Metazoa, Chordata, Actinopteri, Characiformes, Acestrorhamphidae. The record is from RefSeq and is a predicted model, not a curated record. The transcript has 3 exons.